Molecule: long non-coding RNA, 1656 nt
Filed under: Nilaparvata lugens (brown planthopper)
Lineage: Eukaryota; Metazoa; Arthropoda; Insecta; Hemiptera; Delphacidae
Description: uncharacterized LOC120352652
Source: RNAcentral
UGUGGUUUAGAUGAUAAUACAGGAAGUUCGUGGUCCCAUAUUUCAAUUUAAAUACCUCCAAUUUCUGCAAUCACGCUAUCAUUGUAUUCAGGGAGUCAAGAUGUUUCCUAACGUUCCAGCAGAUUGCUGAUACUUCCACUCACACUUGCCGGAUCAGUGGAAUGUUCAGAAGUUAUCAAGGGUUGCUCAGAAAAUCGAUUCCUUGGAAGCCGUAUGAAUUUUGAGAUGCAAGAGAUUACAACUGCGUUACUCUAGAUCGGUCAAGAUUUCUUCCGAAAGCAGACAAAAUAGACGGCAAUGGACAACAGACCGCCAAAGUCAAAUUUUACCAACCCAAUAAAAGUGUAAAGCAUCUGAUAUAGAUGUUCGUUCUGAUGAUGAAUUGUUUCCCAAUGUUCACGGCUGCGUGGACAAUACAUUUUGUGACCCAGUACAUAACACAUCCACAACGAAUUAUUCAUGCAUCACUCCAGCAGGCGAAAACAUAAGUUGUGAGGUUCCGGCACCAGAAACCUCACAAAUGCAUUGUCCACAUUGGAGGUAUAAUGUGAAUCCAAACGAAGACAGAGAAGUCUUUUCAGAUGGAAAAUGGGUGAGAUGGAAACCCUGCAACAUACAGUGUGGUCUCACAAUUGACAAUCUACCUCAAGGAACCAGUUUCUGUGAACAAUGGAUGUACGCUCACCGUUGGCAUGUUGCAAUCUGCCAUUUGGAAGAUGAGAAAUGGAGUCGUGAGUGUGCGGGGACAAUCCUUGAUAAUCACGUGAUCAUCACAGCUGGUAUCUGUUUGUAUCCACAUGUUGAAUACAAAAAGUUGAAAGUUUCAGUAUGUCAGUACUUCAAACAUUUCAGAUCAGCACAAUUCCCACCAUGCAUCUAUGAUGUGAAAUAUGUAUUUUCCAAUCCAAGGAAUUGCAUUGUCAAAAUCAAGACCAAGGCACCCAUACAAUAUAUGUGCCUUGUAUCGUACACCUGUAUUGUAUGGGUGCCUUUGUCUUCAUUUAGGCAAUGGAAUUCUCUGGAUUGAAAAAUACGUAUUCAACAUCAUGGAUGCCUGGUGAGGAAUGUGCUGCUUCGAAAUCUUUGAAGUACUGACCUGCUGCAACUUUCAACUUUUUGUGUUCAACAUGUGGAUACAAACAGAUACCAGCUGUGAUGAUCACGUGAUUAUCAAGGAUUGUCCCCGCACACUCCCGACUCCAAUUCUUAUCUUCCAAAUGGCAGAUUAAAACAUGCCAAUGGUGAGCGUACAUCUGCCGAUUCUGCCAAACGGCUGAUUACAAAAUGUCAGAUAAAGUGGUCAUAAUAUACAUGCUAUAAUACAACAACAAUAGGCUACAACGAUACAGUAAACAAUGCGUUAAGUGAUUGAAUAUCUUAUUAAUGACUGGUAGAAUGUUUUUUUUCGUCUUUUGUUUCCUUUCCUCAAGGUCUGGUUGCAUAAAAAUGUGAACCGUUAAAAGUUGCUGAUUGAAGAAGUCAUCUGCUUCUUAUUGCUUCUCGUGGCAUUCGACCGUCAUUCAAUCAAGAUUAAAAUUGAAAAAUUAUAAAACUGUGAGAAAGUGUAAUAAAUUUAUUCCAUCAUUUUCAUCGCUCCAUCUUCUGUUUGAAGCUUUUAUUUGAUUUCAACUCUAUAAUUACACCAAUUUUUCAUCA